CAUCACUAGGCUGGUCCUACCAGACUCUCGUACAUUUCAUAAUAUACAGAGAGUCUGGCCACUUUCCAUUGCCAAGCGUUAACUUCCUUGAAGAUGAGUACUCUGUUUAAAACUAUUGGAUCUGCCCAGAGCAACUCUGGAUCUGCCAUAACCAAUCGCUAACGUUUGGUCGUGACA
Alosa sapidissima (American shad) is the source of this 177-nucleotide long non-coding RNA. RefSeq lists it as uncharacterized. Lineage: Eukaryota; Metazoa; Chordata; Actinopteri; Clupeiformes; Clupeidae. The transcript is spliced from 3 exons. The record is from RefSeq and is a predicted model, not a curated record.